GUGUACAGCCACACCACCCUGAACGCGCCCCAUCUCAUCUGAUCUCGGAAGCCAAGCAGGGUCGGGCCUGGUUAGUACUUGGACGGGAGAAAUCAGAUGUUAUUUUAA
This 108-nucleotide ribosomal RNA is filed under the name Microcebus murinus (gray mouse lemur). Lineage: Eukaryota; Metazoa; Chordata; Mammalia; Primates; Cheirogaleidae. The record is from RNAcentral.